UUCUUGAUCUCGAAUCGCUUAGGCUUCUUGGAUGAAGAAGAGGCACCGUGAGAGCAGCAGGAGCUCUCGCCGGCGGGAACCAUUGGAACGUCGGAAUCGAGUGUCGCCAUGUCUCUCAGCUUUUUUUCACUGAACCAAAGGCACUUCUAGCUUUUUCUACUCUCUACCUUCAGAUUCUUAUUUUAUUUAAGGGUAGAGAAUAAGUUUUCUCUGUGGAGAUUAUUUGACUUGAAAAUCAGGAAAAAAAGAUUUUA
RNAcentral lists this long non-coding RNA (254 nucleotides) under Trifolium pratense (red clover). RNAcentral's name for it is "long non-coding RNA (TPRA_LNC003816)". The record is from RNAcentral. Lineage: Eukaryota; Viridiplantae; Streptophyta; Magnoliopsida; Fabales; Fabaceae.